GGUUAUAGCUCAGUUGGUAGAGCACUUGCCUAGUACGUGUGAGGCAUUGGGUUUGAUUCUCAGCACCA
This 68-nucleotide transfer RNA is filed under the name Marmota monax (woodchuck). RNAcentral's name for it is "tRNA.Thr". The record is from RNAcentral. Lineage: Eukaryota; Metazoa; Chordata; Mammalia; Rodentia; Sciuridae.